This is a long non-coding RNA of Zingiber officinale, 2528 nucleotides long. RefSeq lists it as uncharacterized. Lineage: Eukaryota; Viridiplantae; Streptophyta; Magnoliopsida; Zingiberales; Zingiberaceae. The record is from RefSeq and is a predicted model, not a curated record. The transcript has 4 exons.
GAGUUGAAAAACCCUAGGUUUCACUCACUGGCACCCACCUAUCUUUCGAAAACCUCCCGAACCCCUCACAAGUUCGAUCAUCUCUCGCCUUCUCCAUCACUGUCGGCGUCCCUCAUUCUCUUCCUCUACCCGAUUGGAAGAGGACAGGCUCCCUCUUCCGCCUCCAUCUCAUCUACAUCCGACGCUAAUGCACACAAUAGGAGCUUCAUCCCAGAAUCCGCAGGCCAUCUCAUCUCCUCUACCAUCUUCCUCGCUGUUGACGGCAAGGUCUUCUCACAGAGCUUCCAGAUCUGAAAGCCAUCUCACGGUGCCUUCAUCUUUAGCCCACAGCUUCUUCCAAUUGGGAGAGGCGCCACCACCGAACUCUACAUCACCCUCUCCUGAUUAGUAGAGGUUUCUUCGCCACAACUAGUUUCCUUCCACUUCUCCAUUUCGGAUUUGAAGAGUAAAGCUUCAUCACUAGCCAGCAGCCCCUCUCCUCUUCGGAUUUGAAGAGGAGAGUUCUUAUCUGAACUUAUCGUUUGACUGGAAGACCAGCUCACAUUAAUUAGAACUGACACACCCAAUUCGGCUAGGUUUGGCCCUAAAUUUCUCGGUCUGUUCUAGGACGAGAUUUUGAAUUCGCAAGACAAGUCUUGUUCUCUUGCCAAGAAGGUAAGUUCAUCAGAGUAUGCUUGCCCUUUUCUUUCUUAGAUUCUUGUUUAGGUGAUAUGUACCAACAGAAGAAAGUUAGUUCUGAAAUUCUGGUUUAGAUGCAUUUUCAAACUUAGAAAUAGUUGGCGUGAUCUUGCUGGGAUAGCUUUUUCAUAGAUCACUGAAAAGUUGGUGGAAUUUUCCUUCAUUUUCUAGUUGAAACAUUUAAUUAAGUUCGGAAUAUGCAAGUUUCAAAGAGCUUUCAUGAUAGAGUUGGAACCAAACCAAAAAAAAAUUAGAGUAGCAGCUGUAAUAAUUAACCUUGCUGCAGAGGCACCUUUUCCUCUGUUCUUUUUGUUAUCAGAAAUAUCUAGGGAUUUGUCUUGACAGUCUUAUUGAUAUUAUCUUUAUAUCUUGUAUGCCAAUAUGCAGUUUGUUUUGGCCUUCACAAUUAUGUGGGGAUUCUCUUUGAUACUUCUCUUGAUAUAUCUGUUUGUGAUAUGACAUUGUUCUCUUUUGUUAGCCAACUCAUGAGUAGCAUUUCCUCUCUAAAUGAACAUGUUAUUUCUAUUAUUCUAACAUGCUGUAUGAAAAUUUAUUUGGAUUGUAAUGACAUCCUUUUUUGUUCUUGACUUCUUAUCCAGUAUUGAUGUAUGUUCGACAAUUCGAACUUAAUGCCCAUAUUGCAUCCCCUAGCUUGUCUUCCUAUAGAUGUUUUUCCUAUUUGUAGGCAGUUAGAAAUUUCUACUUGGUUCCUUUCUAAAGCAAGUUAAGAAAUGAAGCUACCUGUGCACUCUAUGAGGUUUCAUGAAUUUAGGCAGUCUGUUCCACCAACUGAGUUUUUAACCAUUGUUUUUUUGGCCCUUUCCUAGCAUGCAUAUUAGUGGAUGUAUUCCUAGUAUGCAAUGUAAAACUUAAAAUAAAAUAUCCUUCUUUGAGAAUAAGUUCUCUUUAAUUUUCAUAUUAUGAUAAAUUAAUAACACAAAUUCCUACUUACAUGUGGUCUUAUACCAUCAAAUUUUCUACUUAGCAAUUCUGGUAUUUGAAUAUGGAACUUUAUUAGCUUCUUGUGUAUCACUUCUAAAGGACAUCAUAUCACAGGUAAAUUCUAAAGGAUACGUUUGAUAUGCUUGUUUAAGUUGAUUACAUAUGAUUUUUCUUCUUCAUUGCAAGUAACUUUUGUGUGAGAUAUACAUUUUCAGUAAUAUAUAUAUUCUGCAUUGUUGAUAACGCACAUGUCAAGCAUACAAUUUUUACUUUAAGCCUCUUCUCAAGUGCAACGAGAAAGCCACAUAUAAACAUAGCUAAGUGAUGCUCAAAAUUGCUUGCAUGAUGCUCUUUGAGGAGACAUUGAUAAGCGAAGAGGAGGAAGAAGCACUACUUGAUCAGAAUAUGGAGGAUUAAGAUGCAAAAUAUAGAAAAAUAAAAGUCCAUGGCUGCAUAUAUCAAGAGAGAGGUUUGUUCUGCCUUGGUGCAACUUAUAGAAGUUCGACCAUCAUUCCUAGAGUGCAUUUUCAGAUAUUUUUGAAGGUGAAUGGAGGUAUUCAAAAACUCCAGCUAAAUAGCUCGGGUAUGGAUGAUUACAGGAGCAACAACUACAUGCUAUGUGGCACUGCAUCCGAACAUCAUGGGUGUGAUUGGGAAGUACUUCGACGAAGAACUAUCAAGAAGGCUUUGGGAUUUAAGUGAGAAUAUGGUUAAAGUCAAUGAGUAAAGAACAUUCAAGUCAAGAGGAUAAGUAGCAUCUAUAAAGAUCCUUUAAUUUCAUACAAUAAGAUGUAGAUGAUAGAAGUUUUCAGUGUCUCCUAAUUAAAAUUUCUUUGUAUGCAAGUAAUUAUGCUUGUUAUAAAGUGUAUGGAUGAUAAUUUAUAUAUUUAUCUUGGUUGUUUAUUUAA